This is an RNA transcript of Eriocheir sinensis (Chinese mitten crab), 4296 nucleotides long. RefSeq lists it as uncharacterized. Lineage: Eukaryota; Metazoa; Arthropoda; Malacostraca; Decapoda; Varunidae. The transcript is spliced from 8 exons. The record is from RefSeq and is a predicted model, not a curated record.
GAUAGGCAAAAUGUGUUUGAAUGGAGAGUAACAAACAGAAAUGGAGAGGGGUUUGAGUGGGAUGUAAGAAAGUGGAAGAAUGUGAUAGAUAUGGCAGUUAAAGAUGAGGGAUUGAGCAAGUGGAAGAAUGAGAUGGAAAGAAAGGAAACUCUCGACUGGUAUAGGGAGAAAGAGGCCCCAAAGUGUGAGGUGUGGUAUGAGGGAAGCCUGGGAGGUGAUCUUCUUUUCCGUGCUAGAGCGCAGUGUCUGGAUGUGAAUGCAAGGAACUAUAGAUGGUCUGAGUCCCGCAGCAAAGUGUGCCAGAUGUGUGACUGGGGUGUGGACGAGACUGUGCAGCAUGUAGUGCUGGAAUGCAAGAAGUAUGACAGGGAGAGAACGAAGAUGAUGCAUGUGUUUUUGAGCGAGAUGGGACGUGGAGUGAACGCGAGGACGGCAAGGGAGUGGAUGGUGCUGCAUGCUGCUGGGGCUCAGUGGAGAGACGAGUGGACGAGUGAUUGAGGCAGUGAAAGAGUUCUUGGAGGGCAUGUGGCGUGAAAGAUAUAGGGAAUGAUAUCUUGCCCCGAGAACAUAGACUUUCCGCAUGUUUUUUGUUUUCUUUUCACAGGCCUGGCUGGGGAGAAAUCCCGAGCCACCUGUGACAUCAAGAUCAAGAUCAAGAUCAUGACGCAAGACUGGCACGGAAGGUUUACUUGUGGAGUGUGCAUGAGAGCAAGUGGAUUAAGAACUGCAUGAGAAUGGUUCAAGACCAAGGGAGCAAGAGGACUGUACAUGGAAACUUAACUUUUAUAAAGCGGAUAAUGAGAAGAUGAAAGACUUGUUUCGGGAAAUACAUAAAACACCCACGAAGAAGAAGAAGAAGCGAAGGCCUGACUCUCCAAUGGGUCACCUGUACAGCAAGAGCAAGAGCAAGAGAGCACACGCCGCAUCCCUUCUGGCCCUGCCCAACCAGCCCCCUAAAACACCCCAGAAGAAGAAGACGACGAAGGCUCCACACCCACGGGCCAGCGCUGGGGACCUGCUGGCCAGCGACACCCUCAGCCCCAACACUGCCAGGACAACACCUCCACCACCGCCGCCGGGAAGUCUUAACCUUCUCAUGCAGCAGAAGUAGAGCUCUCACGGGCACGUCUACCCUCGACCACGACCACGGACCCUAGGCUGCCGGUGUGUAGAGGAAAAGAGAACAAGGAAAGAACGAGGACAAUAGCAACACACUCAGCUUCCGCAAAGGUUGGGGCCGCCUCAUCUGCAGGGCUGGACAGCAGCAUGAGUGGCCAGGACAAGCAGGAGCAGACUGCUGCAGGGGGCAGGAGGGUCAGUGGUCACCAGAUGAAGCAACUGGCUGCUGGCAACUCCAGCAACAAAGGAGAGAGGAAGUUUGUGUGUCUGGAGUGUGGAAAAGAAUUAACCACAAGGCAAGGCCUCAGAUAUCACACCCUUACACACACUUGUGUGAAGAACUAUGAAUGUAAGGAAUGUGGGAAACAAUUCAUCCAGAAGAGUCACCUUGAUACACACACCCUUUCACACACUGGUGUGAAGAACUAUGAAUGUAAGGAAUGUGGGAAAAAAUUCAACCGGAAGGGUAACCUUGAUACACACACCCUUACACACACUGGUGUGAAGAACUAUGAAUGUAAGGAAUGUGGGAAAAAAUUCAUCCAGAAGAUUGACCUUGAUAGACACACCCUUACACACACUGGUGUGAAGAACUAUGAAUGUAAGGAAUGUGGGAAAAAAUUCAUCCUGAAGAGUCAACUUGACAGACACACCCUUACACACACUGGUGUAAAAAGUCAUGAGUGUGAAGAGUGCAGGAAGAGGUUCAGUGUGAAGCAGGCACUCAAUCGACAUGUCUUCAGGCACUAUGGCCUUAGAGAGUUCAAGUGUGAUGUUUGUGGAAAGCUCUUUAAGACAAGGGAUUACAUUGCCAAGCACAUGAAGAUCCACUUCUGAAGUGUGUCUGCCUACAGUAGUUAUAGUGACCAAGAAGGACAAGCAGGACCCGGACGGUGACAUCAUUAUGAGGCUUGAGUACGGUCUCCUGAACUCCUCGUCCCUGGAGCUGAUUGCGCGGAGAUGGUGGUGAGCAUAGCCAAGGGGUGCGAGGAGGAGGUGUGCAAAGUGGACAUGCAGACCGAGGUGGCGUUCCUGGAUGGCAAUAACAGUUCGGUCAUCAUAGGCAAGAUCAACCGGCUUGAGGUGACAGCAAGCAACAAGGGGGAACACGUGUACCUCCCCAGCCUAAUGGUGAGCCUGGCGCCGCCCCUCGUGGUCUUCCAGCCUCCUCACCAGUGCAUCUUCCACUCCUCCGAGCUUGUGUAUAACUUGACCAACCCUCUGAAGAGCAGUGCUGAGAGUGUGUGAAGCAGUUUGCCAACCUGGUCCUGGCCCUCAUGAUGCUGUUCGCCAGGUACAAUCACUGGAUGGUGGGCGACAAGUUUGAGAGACUCGCCCCCUCACUGCCGCCAACUCCAUCGCUGGCGGCUCCACGUCUACUCUCGUCUCCUCCUCCUCCGCCUCCUCCUCCUCUCUCAACAUGGACGGUCGAAAAAGGAUGUUUAGUGUGGAGGUGUUUGAUUGGGGUAUGUGGGUUGGUGUUUAUAAUUUCAUUUGUGUGUGUGUGUGUGUGUGUGUGUGUGUGUGUGUGUGUGUUACCCUUCCCUCCCUCCCUCACCCCAAUGUUUGUCUCUAGGUGUUUGUAGGCGAUAAGAUGACCUUUCAACACACCUUCUUUCUUUCCUUUCUUUAUUCUUUCCCUCUUUACGAUGUUAUUGUAAGUAUACGUAACCUUAAACUAAUGAAAUACAAGUUACGUGAACCCUACCCUCGAGAUAUGUUAUUUUGAUCUCUGUACGUAUAGGCAAGAUUACGUCUCUUAAACUAACGAUAUAUAAGUUAUGUCAACCUUAACCUGCGAGGUGUUUGUAUAAGUAACCUCAAUUCACUGGCAUGUUUGUAUAAGUAACCUCAAUUCACUGGUAUGUUUGUAUAAGUAACCUCAAUUCACUGGUAUGUUUGUUUAAGUAACCUCAAUUCACUGGUAUGUUUGUAUAAGUAACCUCAAUUCACUGGUAUGUUUGUAUAAGUAACCUCAAUUCACUGGUAUGUUUGUAUAAGUAACCUCAAUUCACUGGUAUGUUUGUAUAAGUAACCUCAAUUCACUGGUAUGUUUGUAUAAGUAACCUCAAUUCACUGGUAUGUUUGUAUAAGUAACCUCAAUUCAUUUCAUAUGUCGUAUGUUACAGUGAUCUCUGUAUGUAUAGUGAAGAUUACAUCCUUUAAACUAGCAAAAUAUAAGGUUCACCAACCUUACCUUUGAGAUGUUUUUAUGAGUAACCUCAAUUAACUCGUAUGUCGUAUGUUACUUUGACCUGUACGUAUAGAGAAGAUUAUGUCAUUUAAACUAGCAAAAUAUAAGUUACGCCAACCUUACCUACGAGAUGUUUGUAUAAGUAACCUCAUUUCAUUUCAUAUGUUACCUUGAUCUGUAUGUAUAGGGAAGAUUAUGUCAUUUAAACUGAUGGAAUAUAAUUUGUCAACCUUACUUACGAGAUGUUUGUAUAAGUAACUUCAAUUCACACUUUGAUCUCUGUACGUCGAGGCAAGGUUACGUCAGCCCAGCACUCACUGUUUGCUUAUUUCUCGUCUUUACGUAGACGUAACAUUACGAUCCUUGUAUUGUUGUAGGACUUGUGUUGUGGAGAGGAAGUAUUGCUGUAGGACUUGUGUUGUGGAGAGGAAGUAUUGCUGUAGGACUUGUGUUGUGGAGAGGAAGUAUUGCUGUAGGACUUGUGUUGUGGAGAGGAAGUAUUGCUGUAGGACUUGUGUUGUGGAGAGGAAGUAUUGCUAUAGGACUUGUGUUGUGGAGAGGAAGUAUUGCUAUAGGACUUGUGUUGUGGAGAGGAAGUAUUGCUAUAGGACUUGUGUUGUGGAGAGGAAGUAUUGCUGUAGGACUUGUGUUGUGGAGGGGAAGUAUUGCUAUAGGACUUGUGCUGUGGAGAGGAAGUAUUGCUGUAGGACUUGUGUUGCAAAGAGGAAGUAUUGCUGUAGGACUUGUGUUGCAAAGAGGAAGUAUUGCUAUAGGACUUGUGUUGUGGAGAGGAAGUAUUGUUGUAGGACUUGUGUUGUGGAGAGGAAGUAUUGCUGUAGGACUUGUGUUGUGGAGAGGAAGUAUUGCUGUAGGACUUGUGUUGUGGAGAGGAAGUAUUGCUGUAGGACUUGUGUUGUGGACAGACAAACAACGUAAUAUAAUCUUAUAAGGGAAGUAAGAGUGUUAUAAAAAUUGCAACAGUU